GAUCCGUUGGCUGUCGAGGACAGUAUUUUCUACGUCCCCCUUCCCCACAAUCGCCUUGAAAAACAAGAGGCGGAACUCGAAGCAUUAUCAAGGCUCUGAACAACGCCAGUGCCCCAAAACCAAUGGUCAUCUGCAGCUUCGUAUGAAACUUAAACGAUGGACAAGAUUUUUUGGCACACCGGGUACAAUAAAAUUUUAGGAUGAGAGAGCUGAAACAGAGAGGUUAAAUUACAAGUUCAAAUUCACAGAGGUGG
Molecule: long non-coding RNA, 254 nt
Organism: Artibeus jamaicensis (Jamaican fruit-eating bat)
Lineage: Eukaryota; Metazoa; Chordata; Mammalia; Chiroptera; Phyllostomidae
Exons: 3
Source: RefSeq, a predicted model, not a curated record